AACGAACGCUGGCGGCAUGCCUAACACAUGCAAGUCGAACGAGACCGUCGUGUCUAGGUGCGCACGUGUGCUUGACACGUGGGAACCUGCCCGUAGGUUCGGAAUAACUGCCCGAAGGGUGAGCUAAUACCGGAUAAUGUCUUCCGACCAAAGAGUUAUGGCCUUUGGAUGGGCGCGGGUUGGAUUAGCUAGUUGGUAGUGUAAAAGCAUACCAAGGACACGAUCCAUAGCUGGUCUGAGAGGAUGAUCAGUCACACUGGGAAUGAGACACGGCCCAGACUCGUACGGGAGGCAGCAGUAGGGUAUAUUGUACGAGGGGCGAAAGUGUGGUACAGCCAUGCCGGGUGAGUGAGGCAGGGCGUAGGGUUGUAAAGCUGCUUUAGCCGGGACGAUAAUGACAGUAACGGGAGAAGAAGCACCGGCUAACUACGUG
RNAcentral lists this ribosomal RNA (433 nucleotides) under uncultured bacterium. Its description in RNAcentral is "partial 16S ribosomal RNA". It matches the Rfam family "Bacterial small subunit ribosomal RNA", at positions 29 to 507 of the family's 1533-position model. The record is from RNAcentral.